AUCUAACUGACGAGUCCAAAAUAGGGCUAAUCGUGCGUCCUGAAU
RNAcentral lists this non-coding RNA (45 nucleotides) under Schistosoma haematobium. The record is from RNAcentral. Lineage: Eukaryota; Metazoa; Platyhelminthes; Trematoda; Strigeidida; Schistosomatidae.